ACGAACGCUGGCGGCGUGCCUCAUACAUGCAAGUUGAGCGAUGAAGAUUGGUGCUUGCCCCAAUUUGAAGAGCAGCGAACGGGUGAGUAACGCGUGGGGAAUCUGCCUUUGAGCGGGGGACAACAUUUGGAAACGAAUGCUAAUACCGCAUAACAACUUUAAACAUAAGUUUUAAGUUUGAAAGAUGCAAUUGCAUCACUCAAAGAUGAUCCCGCGUUGUAUUAGCUAGUUGGUGAGGUAAAGGCUCACCAAGGCGAUGAUACAUAGCCGACCUGAGAGGGUGAUCGGCCACAUUGGGACUGAGACACGGCCCAAACUCCUACGGGAGGCAGCAGUAGGGAAUCUUCGGCAAUGGACGAAAGUCUGACCGAGCAACGCCGCGUGAGUGAAGAAGGUUUUCGGAUCGUAAAACUCUGUUGGUAGAGAAGAACGUUGGUGAGAGUGGAAAGCUCAUCAAGUGACGGUAACUACCCAGAAAGGGACGGCUAACUACGUG
This 496-nucleotide ribosomal RNA is filed under the name uncultured bacterium. RNAcentral's name for it is "partial 16S ribosomal RNA". It matches the Rfam family "Bacterial small subunit ribosomal RNA", at positions 29 to 507 of the family's 1533-position model. The record is from RNAcentral.